AUUGAACGCUGGGGGCAUGCCUAACACAUGCAAGUCGAACGGCAGCAUGCUCUGUAGCAAUACAGAGUGAUGGCGAGUGGCGGACGGGUGAGUAAUACGUAGGGAUCUGCCUUGAAGAGGGGGACAACCCGGGGAAACUCGGGCUAAUACCGCAUGAUACUCUAAGGAGGAAAGGGUUGGCGCAAGCCAGUCGCUUUAAGAGGAACCUACGUCCGAUUAGCUAGUUGGUAAGGUGAAGGCCUACCAAGGCGGAGAUCGGUAGCUGGUCUGAGGGGAUGACCAGCCACACUGGGACUGAGACACGGCCCAGACUCCUACGGGAGGCAGCAGUGGGGAAUAUUGGACAAUGGGGGCAACCCUGAUCCAGCGAUGCCGCGUGUGUGAAGAAGGCCUUCGGGUUGUAAAGCACUUUAGUUGGGGAAGAAGGCUUGCGGUUGAAUAGGCCGCAAGAUUGACGGUACCCAAAGAAUAGGCACCAGCAAACUCUGUGCCAGCCGCCGCAGUAA
Molecule: ribosomal RNA, 506 nt
Filed under: uncultured bacterium
Lineage: Bacteria
Description: partial 16S ribosomal RNA
Rfam family: Bacterial small subunit ribosomal RNA
Source: RNAcentral